RNAcentral lists this ribosomal RNA (420 nucleotides) under uncultured bacterium. Its description in RNAcentral is "partial 16S ribosomal RNA". It matches the Rfam family "Bacterial small subunit ribosomal RNA", at positions 361 to 773 of the family's 1533-position model. The record is from RNAcentral.
AUUUUGGACAAUGGGGGAAACCCUGAUCCAGCCAUCCCGCGUGUAUGAUGAAGGCCUNNNGGUUGNACAGUACUUUUGGCAGANAAANAAUGGUAUCUCCUAAUACGAGAUACUGCUGACGGUAUCUGCAGAAUAAGCACUGGCUAACUACUUGACAGCAGCCGCGGUAAUACGUAGGGUUCAAGCGUUAAUCGGAAUUUCUGGUAUUAAAGCGUGUGUAGGCGGUUCGGAAAGAAAGAUGUGAAAUCCCAGGGCUCAACCUUGGAACUGCAUUUUUAACUGCCGAGCUAGAGUAUGUCAGAGGGGGGUAGAAUUCCACGUGUAGCAGUGAAAUGCGUAGCUAUGUGGAGGAAUACCGAUGGCGAAGGCAGCCCCCUGGGAUAAUACUGACGCUCAGACACGAAAGCGUGGGGAGCAAAC